RNAcentral lists this long non-coding RNA (481 nucleotides) under Notechis scutatus (mainland tiger snake). Its description in RNAcentral is "lncRNA (ENSNSUG00000006642.1)". The record is from RNAcentral. Lineage: Eukaryota; Metazoa; Chordata; Lepidosauria; Squamata; Elapidae.
CUUUAUCCCUUUUAAACAUGCUUUCCUUCGCCUAUUUUUUUUUCUCUAGAGUCCAUAAUGGACCAAUAUGAAAAUGUGCCUGAGUCUCAACGGCAUUCACUUGGUGAAUAUGUGAACGUACUAGAGCCGGAACCGAUCGUACUAGAUCCUUGUUUUGUAGUUGGCACUAGUGAUCGGGAAAGUGAAGAUGAUGUUCCAGACUAUGAAAAUGUCUGUUUUGGACUUUGAGGUUGAAAAGAGGAUUUCAAAGGAUCAGUUUUGCAUUGGGGGAUCUAUUAAUCUUCGCAAAGGAUGGAUCACCAGCCAGGACACCUUCUCCUGAACAACUUCCAAUUUUGUCAUAUCCUAAGUUUUCUCCCUUGCACUUUGGAUGACGCAUCCUGAGAAUUUCUCCCAAUUAUCAGUAGCAGUAUUUUGAUGGACUUUUCCCAAAGCAAUUCAGUUUUGCUUUUAAGUUUGGUUGACUAAUAAAGAACCAAGA